GACAAAGCAGUUCCAAUUCCAGAGAAAAUGAGUGAAUGGGCACCUCGACCUCCCCCAGAAUUUGUCCGAGAUGUCAUGGGUUCAAGUGCUGGGGCCGGCAGUGGAGAGUUCCACGUGUACAGACAUCUGCGCCGGAGAGAAUACCAGCGACAGGACUACAUGGAUGCCAUGGCUGAGAAGCAAAAAUUGGAUGCAGAGUUUCAGAAAAGACUGGAAAAGAAUAAAAUUGCUGCAGAGGAGCAGACCGCAAAGCGCCGGAAGAAGCGCCAGAAGUUAAAAGAGAAGAAAUUACUGGCAAAGAAGAUGAAACUUGAACAGAAGAAACAAGAAGGACCCGGUCAGCCCAAGGAGCAGGGGUCCAGCAGCUCUGCGGAGGCAUCUGGAACAGAAGAGGAGGAGGAAGUGCCCAGUUUCACCAUGGGGCGAUGACAAUGUUUGCCACAGCCUCUGCCUGGAACCUGGCUCGUGCUAUGACCAGAAGGGAAAGGCAGCUGUUUGGCUCUUUCUCCCCCGCAAGGACCCGCUGACCCGCUGGAUGGAGAGCCAAGGAGACCCCUCCCAAGCCGCUCGCAGUCCUGCAUUUGGCAGGGUUGGGAGCCUGAGGGGCCAUCUCCCUGACACUCAGAGGCACUGCCUUGCAGACGCCAUCAGUGUUCCUGGUAAAAGGGGACAGAGAGCCUCACCUUGCCACAUAUUUGAACAGUGAUGAGUUUGGGGCUGGUUUCUGGGAAGGGAACGUUUAUUUAGUAAAGAGCAGAACACCC
Molecule: small RNA, 764 nt
Filed under: Pongo abelii (Sumatran orangutan)
Lineage: Eukaryota; Metazoa; Chordata; Mammalia; Primates; Hominidae
Description: processed transcript
Source: RNAcentral